AGAGUUUGAUCCUGGCUCAGAAUCAACGCUGGCGGCGUGCCUAACACAUGCAAGUCGAGCGAGAAAAGGGGGGCAACUCCCUGAGUAAAGCGGCGCACGGGUGAGUAACACGUGGGCAAUCUGCCGAGAAGUGGGGGAUAGCUCGCCGAAAGGCGAAUUAAUACCGCAUGUGAUCAGAGUGGACAUCCAUUCAAAAUCAAAGGUGGCGCAAGCUACCGCUUCUUGAGGAGCCCGCGGCCUAUCAGCUAGUUGGUGAGGUAACGGCCCACCAAGGCUUUGACGGGUAGCUGGUCUGAGAGGACGACCAGCCACACUGGGACUGAGACACGGCCCAGACACCUACGGGUGGCAGCAGUCGAGAAUUUUUGACAAUGGGGGAAACCCUGAUCGAGCGACGCCGCGUGGAGGAUGAAGGUCUUCGGAUUGUAAACUCCUGUCAUUGGGGAACAAUGCACAGAUAUUAACUGUAUUUGUGUUGAUAGUACCCGAAGAGGAAGGGACGGCUAACUCUGUGCCAGCAGCCGCGGUAAUACAGAGGUCUCAAGCGUUGUUCGGAUUCAUUGGGCGUAAAGGGUGCGUAGGCGGCGCGGUAAGUCGGGUGUGAAAUCUCGGAGCUUAACUUCGAAACUGCAUUCGAUACUGCCGUGCUUGAGGACUGGAGAGGAGACUGGAAUUUACGGUGUAGCGGUGAAAUGCGUAGAUAUCGUAAGGAAGACCAGUGGCGAAGGCGGGUCUCUGGACAGUUCCUGACGCUGAGGCACGAAGGUCAGGGGAGCAAACGGGAUUAGAUACCCCAGUAGUCC
RNAcentral lists this ribosomal RNA (803 nucleotides) under uncultured bacterium. RNAcentral describes it as "bacterial SSU rRNA". It matches the Rfam family "Bacterial small subunit ribosomal RNA", at positions 8 to 796 of the family's 1533-position model. The record is from RNAcentral.